GACGAACGCUGGCGGCGUGCUAAACACAUGCAAGUCGAACGGUGAAAGGGAGCUUGCUCUCUGGAUCAGUGGCGAACGGGUGAGUAACACGUGGGCAACCUGCCCCAGACUUCGGGAUAACGCUUCGAAAGAGGUGCUAAUACCGGAUACGAACUCCUUGGGCAUCCUUGGAGUUGGAAAGUUUUUCGGUCUGGGAUGGGCCCGCGGCCUAUCAGCUUGUUGGUGAGGUAACGGCUCACCAAGGCGACGACGGGUAGCCGGCCUGAGAGGGCGACCGGCCACACUGGGACUGAGACACGGCCCAGACUCCUACGGGAGGCAGCGGUGGGGAAUAUUGCGCAAUGGGCGAAAGCCUGACGCAGCAACGCCGCGUGAGGGAUGACGGCCUUCGGGUUGUAAACCUCUUUCAGCAGGGAAGAAGCGAAAGUGACGGUACCUGCAGAAGAAGCACCGGCUAACUACGUGCCAGCCGCCGCGGUAA
RNAcentral lists this ribosomal RNA (481 nucleotides) under uncultured bacterium. RNAcentral describes it as "partial 16S ribosomal RNA". It matches the Rfam family "Bacterial small subunit ribosomal RNA", at positions 28 to 523 of the family's 1533-position model. The record is from RNAcentral.